UACGUAGGGGGCGAGCGUUAUCCGGAUUUACUGGGCGUAAAGCGCGCUAAGGCGGCUCGUUGAGUUGCGGGUGAAAGUUCGGGGCUCAACCCCGAAAUUGCCUGCAAUACUGACGAGCUGGAGUGCGGGAGAGGAAGGUGGAAUUCCCGGUGUAGUAGUGAAAUGCGUAGAUAUCGGGAGGAACACCAGUGGCGAAGGCGGCCUUCUGGCCCGCAACUGACGCUGUAGCGCGAAAGCGUGGGGAG
Molecule: ribosomal RNA, 245 nt
Filed under: uncultured bacterium
Lineage: Bacteria
Description: partial 16S ribosomal RNA
Rfam family: Bacterial small subunit ribosomal RNA
Source: RNAcentral